This 81-nucleotide transfer RNA is filed under the name Felis catus (domestic cat). It matches the Rfam family "tRNA". Rfam says of the family: Transfer RNA (tRNA) molecules are approximately 80 nucleotides in length. Their secondary structure includes four short double-helical elements and three loops (D, anti-codon, and T loops). Lineage: Eukaryota; Metazoa; Chordata; Mammalia; Carnivora; Felidae. The record is from Rfam by way of RNAcentral.
GCCUGGGUGGCUGUCUGUUAAGUGUCUGACUUUGGCUCAGGUUAUGAUCUCACUGUGUGGGUUCGAGCCCCACAUCGGGCU